UAAGGAAUAUUGCGCAAUGGGCGACAGCCUGACGCAGCGACGCCGCGUGGGGGAUGAAGGUCUUCGGAUUGUAAACCCCUUUCGGGAGGGAAGAUGGAACGGGUAACCGUUCGGACGGUACCUCCAGAAGCAGCCACGGCUAACUUCGUGCCAGCAGCCGCGGUAAUACGAAGGUGGCAAGCGUUGUUCGGAUUUACUGGGCGUACAGGGAGCGUAGGCGGUUGGGUAAGCCCUCCGUGAAAUCUCCGGGCCUAACCCGGAAAGUGCGGAGGGGACUGCUCGGCUAGAGGAUGGGAGAGGAGCGCGGAAUUCCCGGUGUAGCGGUGAAAUGCGUAGAGAUCGGGAGGAAGGCCGGUGGCGAAGGCGGCGCUCUGGAACAUUUCUGACGCUGAGGCUCGAAAGCGUGGGGAGCAAACAGGAUUAGAUACCCUGGUAGUCCACGCCUUAAACGAUGGAUACUAAGUGUCGGCGGGUUACCGCCGGUGCCGCAGCUAACGCAGUAAGUAUCCCGCCUGGGAAGUACGGCCGCAAGGUUGA
RNAcentral lists this ribosomal RNA (537 nucleotides) under uncultured Nitrospira sp. RNAcentral's name for it is "bacterial SSU rRNA". It matches the Rfam family "Bacterial small subunit ribosomal RNA", at positions 355 to 897 of the family's 1533-position model. The record is from RNAcentral. Lineage: Bacteria; Pseudomonadati; Nitrospirota; Nitrospiria; Nitrospirales; Nitrospiraceae.